GACGAACGCUGGCGGCGUGCCUAAUACAUGCAAGUCGAACGCAGUGGGGACGGGUGAGGAACACGUGGGUAACCUCCCAUCUAAGGAGAUAACACUUGGAAACAAGUGCUAAAGCGAUACUGGUGGAUGAACCCGGGGUGCAUUAGCUAGUUGGUGGGGUAAUGGCUCACCAAGGCCACGAUGCAUAGCCGACCCGAGAGGGUGAUCGGCCACACUGGGACUGAGACACGGCCCAGACUCCUACGGGAGGCAGCAGUAGGGAAUCUUGGGCAAUGGACGAAAGUCUGACCCAGCAACGCCGCGUGAGUGAAGAAGGUUUUCGGAUCGUAAAACUCUGUUGUUAGAGAAGCGGUAUCUAACCAGAAAGCCACGGCUAACUACGUGCCAGCAGCCGCGGUAAUUC
This 403-nucleotide ribosomal RNA is filed under the name uncultured bacterium. RNAcentral describes it as "partial 16S ribosomal RNA". It matches the Rfam family "Bacterial small subunit ribosomal RNA", at positions 28 to 526 of the family's 1533-position model. The record is from RNAcentral.